CAGGGUUUCACCAAGUCACUAAGAUGUCCAGGUUGGGCUCAAACUUGAGAUCCUCCUGCCUCAGCCUCUCAAAAUGCUGAGAUUAUAAGCAUGUGCCAACACACCUCCAGGAGCUACUUUUGUUCCUUCAAUUUUCUUAGAGAUUGAACUUGGGUCCUUGUGCUUACAAGACAGGCAGCGGAACCAUUGAGUAGUGGAAGAGAGUAUGAAGUUAGCAUGGAAAACUCCAGAUGUCACUGGGAGCAUGACGUUCUUGGAAGACAAAAAUCAACAAUUAUUAAUUUAAGUCCCAAGGCCCACAAAAGUCAAGGGUCUCACUAUGUAUUCCAAGCUGGCGUUGAAGUCACUGGGUACCCCAGGCAGGCCUUGAACUUGCUACCGCC
This 383-nucleotide long non-coding RNA is filed under the name Heterocephalus glaber (naked mole-rat). RNAcentral describes it as "lncRNA (ENSHGLG00100050068.1)". The record is from RNAcentral. Lineage: Eukaryota; Metazoa; Chordata; Mammalia; Rodentia; Bathyergidae.